Molecule: ribosomal RNA, 1375 nt
Filed under: uncultured bacterium
Lineage: Bacteria
Description: 16S ribosomal RNA
Rfam family: Bacterial small subunit ribosomal RNA
Source: RNAcentral
AGAGUUUGAUCCUGGCUCAGGACCAACGCUGGUGGCGUGCUUAACACAUGCAAGUCGAACGGAAAGGCCCCGCUCGCGGGGUACUCGAGUGGCGCACGGGUGAGUUACACGUGGGUGAUCUGCCCUGCACUUCGGGAUAAGCCUGGGAAACUGGGUCUAAUACCGGAUAUGACCUCCCUUUAGUGUGGGGGGUGGAAAGAUUUAUCGGUGCAGGAUGAGCCCGCGGCCUAUCAGCUUGUUGGUGGGGUAAUGGCCUACCAAGGCGUCGACGGGUAGCCGGCCUGAGAGGGUGGACGGCCACAUUGGACUGAGAUACGGCCCAGACUCCUACGGGAGGCAGCAGUGGGGAAUAUUGCACAAUGGGCGGAAGCCUGAUGCAGCGACGCCGCGUGGGGGAUGACGGCCUUCGGGUUGUAAACCUCUUUCGACAGGGACGAAGUGAAAAUGACGGUACCUGUAUAAGAAGCACCGGCUAACUACGUGCCAGCAGCCGCGGUAAUACGUAGGGUGCGAGCGUUGUCCGGAAUUACUGGGCGUAAAGAGCUCGUAGGUGGUUUGUCACGUCGUCUGUGAAAUUCCGGGGCUUAACCUCGGGCGUGCAGGCGAUACGGGCAAUACUUGAGUGCUGUAGGGGAGACUGGAAUUCCUGGUGUAGCGGUGAAAUGCGCAGAUAUCAGGAGGAACACCAAUGGCGAAGGCAGGUCUCUGGGCAGUUACUGACGCUGAGGAGCGAAAGCAUGGGUAGCGAACAGGAUUAGAUACCCUGGUAGUCCAUGCCGUAAACGGUGGGCGCUAGGUGUAGGGGACUUCCACGUUCUCUGUGCCGUAGCUAACGCAUUAAGCGCCCCGCCUGGGGAGUACGGCCGCAAGGCUAAAACUCAAAGGAAUUGACGGGGGCCCGCACAAGCGGCGGAGCAUGUGGAUUAAUUCGAUGCAACGCGAAGAACCUUACCUGGGCUUGACAUACACCGGACCGGCGUAGAGAUACGUCUUCCCUUGUGGCCGGCGUACAGGUGGUGCAUGGUUGUCGUCAGCUCGUGUCGUGAGAUGUUGGGUUAAGUCCCGCAACGAGCGCAACCCUUGUCUUAUGUUGCCAGCACGUGAUGGUGGGGACUCAUGAGAGACUGCCGGGGUCAACUCGGAGGAAGGUGGGGAUGACGUCAAAUCAUCAUGCCCCUUAUGUCCAGGGCUUCACACAUGCUACAAUGGUCGGAACAGCAGGUCGCGAACUCGUGAGAGUAAGCCAAUCCUUCAAAGCCGGCCUCAGUUCGGAUUGGGGUCUGCAACUCGACCCCAUGAAGUCGGAGUCGCUAGUAAUCGCAGAUCAACAACGCUGCGGUGAAUACGUUCCCGGGCCUUGUACACACCGCCCGUC